UAAAUUUAUUUCUGUGCCACCACGGUGAGUAAUCUUUAUGGAUUGCCACAAAGUUAUUCACAUGGGGCUUAAUAUUUUGGAAAGCUAUGCAUGAUAAAUUUUUAUUUUCUUUUUCUAAUGCAAAUGGGUGUUGAAAUAAAUGAGUAUAACCAUAAGGAAAUUAAAUAUGCUCUAAGGGAAAUUGAUGCAGUACUAAAAAGGGAAAUAUGGAUAAUUACCAAAUGUACCUUUUGGCGAGGG
RNAcentral lists this long non-coding RNA (240 nucleotides) under Sorghum bicolor (sorghum). Its description in RNAcentral is "long non-coding RNA (SBIC_LNC005303)". The record is from RNAcentral. Lineage: Eukaryota; Viridiplantae; Streptophyta; Magnoliopsida; Poales; Poaceae.